This 486-nucleotide ribosomal RNA is filed under the name uncultured bacterium. RNAcentral describes it as "partial 16S ribosomal RNA". It matches the Rfam family "Bacterial small subunit ribosomal RNA", at positions 30 to 507 of the family's 1533-position model. The record is from RNAcentral.
AUUGAACGCUGGCGGCAUGCCUUACACAUGCAAGUCGAACGGCAGCACGGGUGCUUGCACCUGGUGGCGAGUGGCGAACGGGUGAGUAAUACAUCGGAACAUGUCCUGUAGUUGGGGAUAGCCCGGCGAAAGCCGGAUUAAUACCGCAUACGAUCCACGGAUGAAAGCGGGGGACCUUCGGGCCUCGCGCUAUAGGGUUGGCCGAUGGCUGAUUAGCUAGUUGGUGGGGUAAAGGCCUACCAAGGCGACGAUCAGUAGCUGGUCUGAGAGGACGACCAGCCACACUGGGACUGAGACACGGCCCAGACUCCUACGGGAGGCAGCAGUGGGGAAUUUUGGACAAUGGGCGAAAGCCUGAUCCAGCAAUGCCGCGUGUGUGAAGAAGGCCUUCGGGUUGUAAAGCACUUUUGUCCGGAAAGAAAUCCUUGACUCUAAUACAGUCGGGGGAUGACGGUACCGGAAGAAUAAGCACCGGCUAACUACGUG